AUGAGAGAGAUUGUUAUUGUUGCAGAAUGGAGAAAUGAGAGAAAGCGCAUGAGUUUGUUGAAUGGAGAAGCGAGAAAGAGCGUGCGUAGGGGUAACGAGAAGAGAGAUUUUUUUCAUGCCAGAGUGAAUGAAGUACUCCCCGCUAGAGAGAGAGAGUAUGAGCAUUCUUAUUCUGAAGAGAGCAUGCGAGAAACCAAAUCUGUUGCAGUCGCGAGAGUGAGCGAGAAUUAUGUUACAGUCGCGAGGAUAAGAGAGAAUUCUAUUACAAAAAGUUUGUUACGAUUAUCCCCUCAUGAUAAAUGGAAGGGGUCCCUUAUG
Molecule: non-coding RNA, 318 nt
Organism: Vicia faba (fava bean)
Lineage: Eukaryota; Viridiplantae; Streptophyta; Magnoliopsida; Fabales; Fabaceae
Source: the annotation of a GenBank genome assembly